UACGGGGGGGGCUGGCGUUGUCCGGAAUCAUUGGGCGUAAAGCGCGUGUAGGCGGUCCGGUAAGUCCGCUGUGAAAGCCAGGGGCUCAACCCUUGGAUGCCGGUGGAUACUGUCGGGCUUGAGUACGGAAGAGGCGAGUGGAAUUCCUGGUGUAGCGGUGAAAUGCGCAGAUAUCAGGAGGAACACCAAUUGCGAAGGCAGCUCGCUGGGACGUUACUGACGCUGAGACGCGAAAGCGUGGGGAGCAAACAGG
This 253-nucleotide ribosomal RNA is filed under the name uncultured bacterium. Its description in RNAcentral is "partial 16S ribosomal RNA". It matches the Rfam family "Bacterial small subunit ribosomal RNA", at positions 524 to 776 of the family's 1533-position model. The record is from RNAcentral.